GACCCCGAAGACCAUAGAGUCCGCGGGCGGGCAGAGCGGCCGGAAGCAGGGGCCGCUCCAUCCCCGCUUCCGGCCGGGCCUCGCUGCUCCGGGAACGGCUGCGGCCGCGGACGCAGUUUCCAUGGGGACAGAAGAUGGCGUCGCGAGGUAAACGGCUGUCCUCCACCCCGCUGGAAAUCCUGUUCUUUCUGAACGGGUGGUACUAUGCUACCUAUUUUCUCCUGGAACUCUUCAUAUUUCUGUAUAAAGCUCUCCUCCUACCAUAUCCAACAGCCAAUCUAGUACUGGAUGUGGUGAUGCUUCUCCUUUACCUCGGAAUUGAAGUAAUUCGACUGUUUUUUGGUACAAAGGGGAACCUCUGCCAGCGAAAGAUGCCACUUGGGUUUAGCGUGGCCUUGACCUUCCCAUCUGCCAUGAUGGCCUCCUAUUACCUGCUGCUGCAGACCUACGUGCUCCGCCUGGAAGCCAUCAUGAACAGCAUCUUGCUCUUCUUCUGUGGUUCAGAGCUGCUGCUUGAGGUGCUCACCCUGACUGCUUUCUCCAGGGAGAAUAAACUACGUAACACAUGGUCUACCCUACUAUACCUGGCUCAGAUCUGAAAGAAACAAGAUAGUCCUUACCUGCCAUGGUGGUUAUAGGGUGCUGAGGCCUUCAUGAUCCUGAUUAACCCAGGAGAAAAUGACAGUGUUGAAGUUUGUUCAUUACUGUUCAGCUGGAGUCAAGUGGAUGUGGAAUCCCCUUCCAUGAUUAAGAGUUCAGGGCCUCUCUCCUUAGACCAGUACUAGUUGACCUGAGACCAGUACUAUGCUACUGUACACCUGCAAUGUUCUCUCUGCAAUGACAUUUUGGCCAGAGAAUUUGGGAGAAGUGAGGGAAGAGGAGGGGAGAGAUACUUCCUCCAUCUACAUAACAAAACUCGUUACUGGGAUGGGGAAGAGACAUACACCACAGAAGACUGGAGGUCAAGUGAGAAGUAGAAAGAAAACGGGAGGUAAGCCAAGAUAAGACAUGUCCACAGACUGAGCAGAUGGUACACAGCUGACAGCAGGGACUCCUAGUAAAACGCUUAGUAAAAAGCAACCCUCGUAUCUGGGGAACUCCCACUAUAUUUCAAUGGCCCAAACACUGUACCCCACAGGAAAAUCACCACAGCACUUUGGUAUGGUGGUGUGCACAAGGGCUCACAAAUGCUUGUACGCAGCUGGGAAUGUGGCUGUACACUGUAAAGUCACUCAGUUAAACUUGUUCACUCUCUCCAAUUUAAUAGUCUACUCCAGGCCUGGUUAAGGUGGAACCCAACAGAAGAACACGAUCACAUAACCUUAGAAGUCUUGGAAGCAGAGAGAUGCUGUUAGCAGUCAAAUGUGGGCAGAAAGGAGAGUGCUCCUUAAACUAACACUUGCUGAUAAACUCAACUCCAGGUUCAAGCAUGCAGGGACCUAUUCUCUCAGCAAACACCUUACUUUCUCCACCAUAGCCUAUCACCGGUGCCUAUCAUGGCAUACUUGUGCUUCAUAUCUUAUCCAUAUGGCAACUUGCUUCUUCCCUGAGUUCUCUCAAAGCAAAGAAAAAGGUAUCAGUAAAUGGGAUCCUCUGAAAGUUAGCCAUCUUCCCACUUUUUCAAAGAUUGUUUUAUACCUAUGGCUACAAUCCCAGAGUAGCAACCAUUUUUAAGCAGAGGAAGUCUACUAGCUGUACUUAGUGAAUUAAUAGAACCCAUGUCUGUCAACGUGACAGAGCAGAAAACAGCACUCAGUCACCACCAUCAUUUCAGCAAAGAAACGGAACACUGAGGAGCACAUAGCUAAGCAGAAGUAGGAAUGUUAUCCCUAAUGUAACUGUACCUUUAUGCAGCUUAGGAAAAUUAGAAAAGGGUUGAAUUAUACAAAGACUCUGAAACAGAGGAACUUGAAAAUUCAAGUUGUCAAAGAAAAGCGUGUGCCUUUUAACCCAGAGCAAUGGGAGUUCACACUCUAUCCAUCUAGGCUCUCAAUCUAGUUAAAAGAACAGUUGUUCCUAUGCAAAUAGAGAAGUGGCCAUAUCUUCACCUUCAAUCAAUCAAUACAAGGUCCCAGUGGACCACCCAAUCAAUACAAGACACUCACUAUUUUGAGAGCAGGACCUAAGAAAUGACAGAACACAGGUGAUGAACCCCACCCCCACCCCCGUCAGAAAAGAAAAGUAAAGGCAGCUGGCUGCUUCACGCAGGGCAUUGCAGGGUGGCUGCACUUUGUGAGGUCAGGAUAAUCCAAGGUCUGGUCCUCAGGUUUUGUGGGUUCAGAAACUCAACUUUAAUAGUUCACCCAGGGUGAUUGUACCCUAGGAAAUAGAUUCAACGCUAACCAAACUCACAAGAGACUGAUUCAUAAACCAGAAUGCCAAUUUAUUAAUUUACAAUGAGAAAUAUAACUGCCAAGCAGACUGGAAUACUUGUGUCGGCUGGUCAGCGCAUUCUCUUCCCAGUAGGAGAGCCUAUUUGGGAAACCAAAUUAGUAUCAGAAGGUGGCUUGGUGAGUACAGAAUCAGAACAAAGGGAGUAAGGUGAACUCAACGGAUGCUAUCAUCAAGCUAAGAUAGUAUAAUGCAGCUUUAUUAGUGGGAAGCACUUGCCAAGCAGACUAAAAUAUCUGGUAAUUGAAAGGGCACUCUCUUCCCCUGGACAAUGCCGGAGAAACAUUGUUACACUCUUCUUUUCCAGCGCUCCUUUUGGUUGAUUCCUUACAGAGCACCCUUCCAACAUAUGUUUAUGACAAGAUUAUAGCCAUCUUUAUAAACAUUACCUGUAUAUUAAGGUGGCUGCUUGUUAAUUUAUACAGAGCACAUGUUACAGUUAAGCCCAUUCACUAUACUGAUUUAAGACAAAACCAUAUAAUUUAGAGUUGACAGGAACUUUAAACAUCAUGUAUCUACUUCAGAGCAGAAAUAAUACAGUGACUUGACCAAGGUCACACAAUGAGUCAGUGGCAAAACCAGACUAUAAUCUGAACCUCUCAGCACAGUGCUCUUUCUUAUACACAGCCUCAUUUUUGGGUCUACUAAUUAACCUUGCCAACACUCAUAACCACCACCACCCUCCCCCAAACUCCUCCACAUUGUAGGCAGAGCCCACACCACAGAAAACAAACCCACAAAUUUGCCCCCCUUCAUACAGAUGGUCUCCACGUACCCCCUCUUGGGACUCGGACGCACUCACGUUUCCGAGCCUGUGCCUCAAACUGUGACAGGUUCUGCCGGGUGGCCGGCCUCACGUCCACUUUUUCUCCAUUAAGAACCUUUCCUGGCAAGAGUUCCAACAAUUUGUGGACAGAGUUUUCAGAGGCUACCACCACCUCAGCAUACCUUGAAGAAGAAAAAUUAAAAAUGAGUGAGAUCUAUUAGCCAAUCAAAAGAACAAAGAAACUCUUCCACUUUUAGUGAAAGCUGGUAAAAUAAAAGAUAUCUUGCUAAUAACAUACACAAAACUACCAUCAAUAAAAA
RNA transcript from Canis lupus familiaris (dog), 3477 nucleotides. It is a transcript of the gene named transmembrane protein 216, with no coding region annotated. The record is from RefSeq and is a predicted model, not a curated record. Lineage: Eukaryota; Metazoa; Chordata; Mammalia; Carnivora; Canidae. The transcript has 6 exons.